UACGUAGGGUGCAAGCGUUGUCCGGAAUUAUUGGGCGUAAAGGGCUCGUAGGCGGUCCAUCGCGUCGGGAGUGAAAAGCUGGGGCUUAACCCCAGUCCUGCUUCCGAUACGGGUGGACUAGAGGUAGGUAGGGGAGAUCGGAAUUCCCGGUGUAGCGGUGAAAUGCGCAGAUAUCGGGAAGAACACCCGUGGCGAAGGCGGUUCUCUGGGACGGUACUGACGCUGAGACGCGAAAGCGUGGGGAGCGAACAGG
This 253-nucleotide ribosomal RNA is filed under the name uncultured bacterium. Its description in RNAcentral is "partial 16S ribosomal RNA". It matches the Rfam family "Bacterial small subunit ribosomal RNA", at positions 524 to 776 of the family's 1533-position model. The record is from RNAcentral.